AUUCCAUCUUCAUAAUAAGGAAAGAUAGACAGGGUGUUUAUAAUUGUACUUGAUUUAAAUCUCUCCCCCCCUUGGGAAGGCAAAUCGCCGCAUGACUGUAGGUCCUUCAUGGUGAUAUUAGCGGAGUGGUUGUUUUAUACGAAAUAGUAGGUCGCUGGGCGAUAGAAAAGAAUAUCACACGAUCCAUUUCACCUAAAAAUAAUGUGCUUGCACAGAAAUGUAAAUGUUUUCCUAAGACGGAAGUAGUAUUGCGUUUUCCCUUAUAAAUUGGCUUAUGCCUUAUGAGUCUCUAAACUACAUAGUGGGAGUAAACGGAGCGUAACUACAUAGUUGGAGUAAACGGGACGGAGCAAAGACCAAAACCUCGAAAGACGAACCGGAGCAUUCGCCUUCCGGCCCUCUGGAUAGCCUUUUGUCUCUGCUCUUGGCUUGUGUCAGGUAGAAGCUGUGGAGGAGCAUCAAGAUAAUAAGGUCCAUCACCCUAACAACAAAUGGGAGAAACACGGCGAUGGGUUCGGUAUUUGAGCAGGACACAGACAAUGGUCAUCGGCUGCUGGCUGGCUUCAGUAAUUAAGUAUCACCAGAGUAACCAGAAUUACUCCACGUUCAACCAAGAGUUUCUGGCAGUCCACAGAGCCAUUUGCCACUUCCGACACAUACCAGGAUGACUACAAUUCAACGUGCAGAUGGAUCACAAACCCCUUGGUCCAUGCCUCCACUAUUGGUGGAGAUGGGUGGAUGGAGAGACAGCAGCGCCAACUUGUCGAUAGCUGAACACUCCUGCACCAUCAGAUACUUUAAAGGCGCCUCCAACAGCAUAGGACUCCCUAUCCUGAAACUCCAUCAACACCAUUCAGAUUAGGAUAUUGUAUCCCGAAAUAGCGGUGCAAAAGCAUAAUGUGGACCAGCAAUUUGGUUGAAGAACCCCACCCUGCCUUGCAGUAACCUAGCCAUCGACAACAGAGCUGACCAUCACCUGCAAGACAAGUACUGCAUGCCCUCGCCCAUGCUUACUGUUGGGGUUGAGAAUGACAGCUGUCAACAUAUCCCACCCAUCAGGCCGAUCCACUGCCUGAAUCCUGACAACACGGCAACAACUGGCCCUCAUCCACGUCAACACUGGAGGCCCCCUAACCCCCUCUGAGGGUUACAGAUACCUCUUCACAAAGUAAUUAAUCGGUACACCAGAUGGCCUGAGGUAACACAUACCAAGCAACAGACUGUGAAAAAUUGUGUGAGAGCCUUAAUAAACUGGGUUAAGGCAGAUAUGGAGUUCCUGAGUACUACAUUACCAGUGAUGAGCAGCUAACUUCUCACACCUACCUUAUGCACUCUUGGAAUGAAAGUACAACACAUGACAGCAUACAACCCAAAAGCAAACAGCGUGAUAAGAGGUUCCACUGAUCUUUGACAGUAGCACUGACGGGCAAAUGUCAUGAUGGGAGGUGGAAUAAAAAAUUGCCAUGGAUCUUUCUUCGAUCUUUCUGGGUUGAAGAACCUCUCCCCAACACAGCAUUCAAUGCGUCACCAGCAAAAGCACUCUACCAACAGUCCUUGGCAAUUCCAGCACUUUUUCUAACACAAAUACCAGCGAAAACAUGGCCAGUUGAGUAUUAUAGUACAUCCAAGAAGAAUUUGUUCAGACAAGCCACUCAUUCAUUGGAAUAGAUCCCCAUCCGCCCAUUAGAGAGCCUCAGUGGCAUGGUCAGUAUGGUGUUGGUGUACCACCUAGGUGGCUGCGAGUUUGAUUCUCGGGCAUUCUACUGAUUUGGGAGAGAGA
Molecule: long non-coding RNA, 1780 nt
Organism: Macrobrachium nipponense
Lineage: Eukaryota; Metazoa; Arthropoda; Malacostraca; Decapoda; Palaemonidae
Exons: 2
Source: RefSeq, a predicted model, not a curated record